AGAAAGAUAUGAUCUAUAAUCUCUAUAAAUAAAAAUAAUUAUAUAUCAUAUUAUAUUAACUAUGUACCAAAAUAAAAUAACUAUGCAUCAUAUUUAUUUAACUGUGUAAUAUGAUAUCUUAACUUUGUACCACAUUCAUAAAAGUAACGUGCAUAAUUUAUGACUAAAGAAAAAAUGAGCAAUAUUAGUCUGAAACAUAAAUCAG
RNAcentral lists this long non-coding RNA (205 nucleotides) under Elaeis guineensis (African oil palm). Its description in RNAcentral is "long non-coding RNA (EGUI_LNC010237)". The record is from RNAcentral. Lineage: Eukaryota; Viridiplantae; Streptophyta; Magnoliopsida; Arecales; Arecaceae.